This 427-nucleotide ribosomal RNA is filed under the name uncultured bacterium. RNAcentral describes it as "bacterial SSU rRNA". It matches the Rfam family "Bacterial small subunit ribosomal RNA", at positions 355 to 774 of the family's 1533-position model. The record is from RNAcentral.
UCGAGAAUCUUUCGCAAUGGGCGCAAGCCUGACGAAGCGACGCCGCGUGCAGGAUGAAGGUCUUCGGAUUGUAAACUGCUGUCUUUUGGGAGCAAGGAACCGUCAUUAACACCGGCGGAACUUGAUAGUACCGAAGGAGGAAGCCACGGCUAACUCUGUGCCAGCAGCCGCGGUAAUACAGAGGUGGCAAGCGUUGUUCGGAUUUACUGGGCGUAAAGGGUGCGUAGGCGGUUCUGCGUGUCGGGUGUGAAAUCCCACGGAUUAUCUGUGGAACGGCAUUCGAAACUGCAGGGCUUGAGUGCAGGAGAGGAGAGCGGAAUUCUCGGUGUAGCGGUGAAAUGCGUUGAUAUCGAGAGGAACGCCGGUGACGAAGGUGGCUCUCUGGACUGCUACUGACGCUGAGGCACGAAAGCUAGGGGAGCAAACA